RNAcentral lists this transfer RNA (82 nucleotides) under Ixodes scapularis (black-legged tick). It matches the Rfam family "tRNA". Rfam says of the family: Transfer RNA (tRNA) molecules are approximately 80 nucleotides in length. Their secondary structure includes four short double-helical elements and three loops (D, anti-codon, and T loops). Further hydrogen bonds mediate the characteristic L-shaped molecular structure. tRNAs have two regions of fundamental functional importance: the anti-codon, which is responsible for specific mRNA codon recognition, and the 3' end, to which the tRNAs corresponding amino acid is attached (by aminoacyl-tRNA synthetases). tRNAs cope with the degeneracy of the genetic code in two manners: having more than one tRNA (with a specific anti-codon) for a particular amino acid; and 'wobble' base-pairing, i.e. permitting non-standard base-pairing at the 3rd anti-codon position. Lineage: Eukaryota; Metazoa; Arthropoda; Arachnida; Ixodida; Ixodidae. The record is from Rfam by way of RNAcentral.
GCACUCGUGGCCAAGUGGUUAAGGCGACGGACUAGAAAUCCAUUGGGGUCUCCCCGCACAGGUUCGAAUCCUGUCGACCGCG